This 494-nucleotide ribosomal RNA is filed under the name uncultured bacterium. RNAcentral's name for it is "bacterial SSU rRNA". It matches the Rfam family "Bacterial small subunit ribosomal RNA", at positions 23 to 507 of the family's 1533-position model. The record is from RNAcentral.
CUCAGGAUGAACGCUAGCUACAGGCUUAACACAUGCAAGUCGCGGGGCAGCAUUUCUUAGCUUGCUAAGGGAGAUGGCGACCGGCGCACGGGUGAGUAACGCGUAUCCAACCUGCCCACCACUUGGGGAUAACCUUGCGAAAGUAAGACUAAUACCCAAUGACGUCUCUAGAAGACAUCUGAAAGAGAUUAAAGAUUUAUCGGUGAUGGAUGGGGAUGCGUCUGAUUAGCUUGUUGGCGGGGUAACGGCCCACCAAGGCGACGAUCAGUAGGGGUUCUGAGAGGAAGGUCCCCCACAUUGGAACUGAGACACGGUCCAAACUCCUACGGGAGGCAGCAGUGAGGAAUAUUGGUCAAUGGGCGAGAGCCUGAACCAGCCAAGUAGCGUGCAGGAAGACGGCCCUAUGGGUUGUAAACUGCUUUUAUAAGGGAAUAAAGUGAGAGUCGUGACUCUUUUUGCAUGUACCUUAUGAAUAAGGACCGGCUAAUUCCGUG